AGAGAGAUGGCAGAGUGGUCGAAUGCGGCGGUCUUGAAAACCGUUGUAGGGUAACCUACCGGGGGUUCGAAUCCCUCUCUCUCUG
RNAcentral lists this transfer RNA (85 nucleotides) under Dyadobacter sp. CY356. RNAcentral's name for it is "tRNA-Ser". It matches the Rfam family "tRNA". From Rfam's summary of the family: Transfer RNA (tRNA) molecules are approximately 80 nucleotides in length. Their secondary structure includes four short double-helical elements and three loops (D, anti-codon, and T loops). Lineage: Bacteria; Pseudomonadati; Bacteroidota; Cytophagia; Cytophagales; Spirosomataceae. The record is from RNAcentral. RNAcentral also lists the same sequence under 3 other names.